Molecule: ribosomal RNA, 467 nt
Filed under: uncultured bacterium
Lineage: Bacteria
Description: bacterial SSU rRNA
Rfam family: Bacterial small subunit ribosomal RNA
Source: RNAcentral
AGGACGAACGCUGGCGGCGUGCUUAAAACAUGCAAGUCGAACGGACUUCUCAUGAAGCUUGCGAUUGAGAAGUUAGUGGCGGACGGGUGAGUAACGCGUGGGCAACCUGCCCCUGAGCCCGGGAUAACAGUUCGAAAGGACUGCUAAGACCGGAUAUACUUGCGGGGAAGCAUUUCUCUGUAAGGAAAGGGAACGCUCAGGGAUGGGCCCGCGUCCCAUUAGCUAGUUGGUGAGGUAACGGCCCACCAAGGCGACGAUGGGUAGCCGGCCUGAGAGGGUGAACGGCCACACUGGGACUGAGACACGGCCCAGACUCCUACGGGAGGCAGCAGUUGGGAAUCUUCGGCAAUGGGCGCAAGCCUGACCGAGCAACGCCGCGUGAGUGAUGAAGGUUUUCGGAUUGUAAAGCUCUGUCUUCCGGGACGAUAAUGACGGUACCGGAGGAGGAAGCCACGGCUAACUACGUG